UUGUAUUCCAUUAUAGAGGAUCAAUGACUUACUUUAGCUUAUUUCUAUCUGGAUGGUGAGGCUCUUGAGUGGUAUUGAUGGCUUCACAGAAAUAAACAAUUGGUGGGUUGCGACUAUUUCACUGAGAAACUCCUUAUUCAUGGGUCCUGCUCAUUUAUCCAAGCUACAACAGACAUAAAGCAUCGCCGACUAUCAACCCCACUUUGACGCACU
This 213-nucleotide long non-coding RNA is filed under the name Capsicum annuum. RNAcentral's name for it is "long non-coding RNA (CANN_LNC008258)". Lineage: Eukaryota; Viridiplantae; Streptophyta; Magnoliopsida; Solanales; Solanaceae. The record is from RNAcentral.